Gopherus flavomarginatus (Mexican gopher tortoise) is the source of this 1367-nucleotide RNA transcript. RefSeq lists it as uncharacterized. Lineage: Eukaryota; Metazoa; Chordata; Testudines; Testudinidae. The transcript has 2 exons. The record is from RefSeq and is a predicted model, not a curated record.
GCAAUCCAAAGGAAACAGCACAUUUUAGCCCUGCUACAGCCCAUCCACGAGAACACGGAUGGAGAAAAUAGGUGCUGGCUGGUUUAGCCAGCAAAUUUCUGACUGGAGAUGAGCCUGUACCAAGCUCCCAGAUAUGACAAAGAAGCUUUGAGGAUUUUUCCUGUUUCAAACUUAGAUCACAGAAAUGUAAGGCUGGACGGGAUGUUGAGCAGUCCUUCAGUCCAGCCCCCCUGGGCUGAGGCAAGACCAAGUUAUACCUAGAGCAUCCCUGACAGGUGUUUGUCUAACCUAUUCUUAAAAAUCGUCAAUGAUGGGGAUUCCUCAAUCUGCCUUGGAAGCCUAUUCCAGUGCUUUACUAUCCUUAUCUGGAUUUUCAUUUCAUUAACUACUCACGUCUUUAUAAAGAGCCAAACCAAAACUGGAUUCAAACACCCAUCUGACCCACCAUCUCCAGCUCAAAGGAUGUUUCAAAUCAAAAUCUAGCUUGAGCCUGAUUCUAACAGUGUGCCCAUCUUUAAACACCUUUCUCCACUCCUCACCCUCAGAGGUGACAUGCAUCUAUGUCUCAGUAACAUAUCACCUGCUAUAUUCUUCUCUCAUUAUAUCAGCUCAAGCCCACUGAUUUAAUUGGAGUAGCACUCGUCACUGUGUAAUGACAGGAGAAUUUAGCUUUAUGAGAGGGAGUACAGAAUAAUUUUUCCAAUUCAUCUACAGGGGAAUUAAAUGAAGGCAAAGUGUUAUUGCCUGUAUUGCAGGUUAGCCAAGAUCCUGGGGCUGAGCACUCCUACUCUUGUCAAAAGGAUUAUUUUGAUGACUCAUUUACACUUGUAACUAAAGGCUGAGAGAAUGAAAAUCAUCUGGGUCAAUCUGAUACAAGUCCAAGCCUCAACAAGCAACAGAUUAAGUGGGGAAAGUCUUAAUCUAGAAAAUUGUUUUGUGAGAUUUACAACACCAAGCAGCACUCAGCAUUAUUUCUUUCACAAUAUCUCAUAAAAAACAAACAAAAACUCCAAUAAACCAAGACUUGAGGGAAGUUGCACUGGAAAAAACUUGAUGAAUAAAAUACUCAUAUGUGAAGGAAAUUUUUCUAUUAUACCUAGUAAAAUUUCUGGGCAUUCUGAUCUGAUUUAAACUCAACAUUCGAGUAGCAGGAAACUGAUAAUUGUCAUAAUUGUAGUAAGAAUAAAGCCAGGAUGAACAUUAACAUGGAACUAUUGCAGCAAAAGCCUUAGGUAUAGGCAUGCAACACGUACUUUUUACCAAUGGCUCAUACAAAAUUGCUUGAGUAGCCACAAACUAUAUUAUUUUAUGAUCAGGAAAGAUCCUUUUAAAUCUCAUCUUUUACUGUGCACCGAUAGGGUUUUAGA